GGGGAUGAUCGGUUUCGACGAUGUGAGUUGAGACAGGGGAAGCGGGUCGAGGACGCAGAGUUAUCUCGUAAACGCUCUCUGUAAAACAAUAGUUGCCAAUUCCAACAGCAACGCCACCGCAAAGUCUGACCUCGCGCUCGCCGCGUAACCAGACUUAGGUGACUGUCAGCCCGGGUUCGCCUUCGACCCGGGGUCUGGCAUCAGCUAGAAGGCCACUGCUCCAGCCGUUCGUCGCGGGCGUCUGGAGAACACUUGCGCGACUGAGUCCGUCGGCCACGGGUCUGCACGAGGGCCGGGACUGAUAAAACGCCACGCAGACUGCACCCGGAGAAGCCCUGACAAAGCUGCAUCGGACGGGGGUUCAAUUCCCCCCAUCUCCACGA
Non-coding RNA from Kocuria sp. SM24M-10, 383 nucleotides. Lineage: Bacteria; Bacillati; Actinomycetota; Actinomycetes; Micrococcales; Micrococcaceae. The record is from Rfam.